GACGAACGCUGGCGGCGUGCCUAAUACAUGCAAGUCGAGCGAACAGAUGAGGAGCUUUCUCCUCUGACAUUAGCGGCGGAAGCGGGUGUAACACGUGGAUAACCGACCCAUAAGACUGGAAUAAACUCGGGAAACCGGAGCUAAUACAGGGUAAUAUAUUGAACCGCAUGGUUCAAUAGUGAAUGACGGUUUUGUUGUCACUUAUAGGUUGAUCCGCGCCGCAGUAGCUAGUUGGUAAGGUAACGGCUUACCAAGGCAUCGUUGCGUAGCCGACGUGGGAGGGGGAUCGGCCACCCUGGAACGGCAACACGGUCCGGACUCCUACGGGGGGCGACGGUAGGGAAUCUUCGUCAUUGAGCGAAGGCCUGCCGGGGCAACGCCCCGUGGGUGUUGCAGGUCUUCGGUUCGUAAACCUCUGUUAUUGGGGACGAAGAAAUGUGUGAGUAACUACGCACGUCUUGACGGUACCUGAACAGAAAGCCACGGCUAACUACGUG
This 497-nucleotide ribosomal RNA is filed under the name uncultured bacterium. Its description in RNAcentral is "partial 16S ribosomal RNA". It matches the Rfam family "Bacterial small subunit ribosomal RNA", at positions 28 to 507 of the family's 1533-position model. The record is from RNAcentral.